This is a long non-coding RNA of Selaginella moellendorffii, 1155 nucleotides long. RefSeq lists it as uncharacterized. Lineage: Eukaryota; Viridiplantae; Streptophyta; Lycopodiopsida; Selaginellales; Selaginellaceae. The record is from RefSeq and is a predicted model, not a curated record. The transcript has 7 exons.
CUCUCGGAAGCGGCAGCGGCAGCGGCAAAGCAGUAGCGGCAAGGCGUCAGCAGCAGCGGCAGGACAGCAGCAGCUUGCCAAGGAAUUUUGCAGCAGUUUCUUGUGGUGCUGAAGGCAGCAGGAGCUUGUGUGCGUCGAGAGCAGCUUGAGAGCUAAUAAUCCCGAUGGAUCCUCCUUCAUUUGAUCUGGGAUUGUCCCAGAAUGCCACUGAUCUUGUUGAGAACGCAGCUCCUUUCUUGAAUUUGGUUCUCUAGUUUUUAUGUAUUCUUGUUUACUCACUUGCAAUCAUUUGAGUUUGAUAGGUUUGUCCUGGGAGGAAUCGCAGUGGGCGUGGUGGGCGUGGUCGGCGUGGUCGGAGAGAGGUUGGCCGCCAACCUUUUCAACCAAUUGUUCGAAUGAGGAGGAUGAGAAUCCAUUGGAACUGGUUAUACCAGCAGGGACCUGAAAGAAGUAUGAGUAGGCAACAUCGAAGUUUUAUGCAUGGCACGAGGCACAGGGCCCAGAAUUUUCCUUACAGGAUCUGAGACUGAUUGAGGAACUUCCUGCAAAGGAGCUUUCCCACCAGCUUGCAUUGUUCUACAAGCAUGUUUUGAGAGACGAUGGGAAGCCUUACCCUCCAACAACUCUGAGGGAUAUGUUUUUUUGCUUUAACCGAGUAUUGAAGCUGGCAAGAGAAGCCCGAGUUGCAAGAACAAGAGUUUUAGAAGAAGAAGUUGACAUCCUGAAUGAUUUAAGGUUUCUUAUAGCAAGGAACACUGCUAGCCAUGUAAUUCGAAAAACAGCACUAGAAACUACAAGGCCAACAAGUACAGGGUCAAAGCAUGUGUACUUGUCGAUGGCUGAGCUUAAGGCAAUUCUCACGUUGCCAGAGUUUCUACCUAACAGUCCUAAUGGACUGUUUUGGUUAGUUGUACUAUUCUGCAUGAAUUUCUUUCUUGUACGUGGGAGGAAGGAAUUGUAUGACUUGCAAUUCACUGAUUUUACACUUUUGGAAGAUGUUGUUGGUUGCUAUAUCCAAUUCAACCAACGUGUUUCCAAAAACUACCAAGUGGAUCUGAUGAAUUGUAAGAACAUGGAUCGGCGGCCUGCUGUGGAUCUCUAUGAAAUAGCUGCUCUCUUAGUCUACAAGGCAUUCAAGCUUUUUUUCGAUAAGCA